ACAUAAUUUUCAUAUUUGAAAGCAUUUACAUAAACUAAUCUUGUUAUGAAAAUCAAUUGAUUUUUUAAAGAAAUUUUUAAAAGAACUAUAAAAACACACGUACUUAUAAUAAUAUCAAAAUGAUUGUACACAUCCAGUAUAUUAGGAAUGAAGUUAUUUACUUCAAUAAAAGUAAUGGUCUAAACACAUCUCAAAGCCUCAAAUAGCCUCAAAUAUCUCCAACACCUUAAACAAAUAUAAGAUAUAACUAUUAACAACUCAUUUUGAGAACUUAGUUUUCUAAUUUAUACCCUUACAAGUCUAAUUCUUAGAAUUUUAACUUUUAAUCUAGAAAUCAUAAUAACACAAUAUUUUACGAACCAUUCUAGAAAUCCAUGGAUAUCUUUCAUAAAUUGUUUAAGAGGAUUUGACACCAAAAACACUUUCAAGACUAUUUGUUUCUGGAUAAAUUCAAAAACUGUCACACAGUGCCUUGAUUGAACAAUAUGGAUUCUGAGAUUUUUAUAAAAUUAUACAUUAAUCCAAAAAUUAUGAAAUUAAAAUUGGAAAUACUAGACACAUAUAUUAACCUCUAUCUAAAGUUUCAGAAUUUUUCAAGUUCAUUUGAAGGUAAAAAUAAUUUUGUAAAUCUGGUCAUUCUGUUAAAACCGUUGUUUUUCAAUGCAAUAGAGUUAGUUCAAAAAAUAUAUAUAUAAUUGAAAAUAAAGUCAAAUCUUAUGAAUUCAAUAAACCAUGUAUAUCUAGUUUACAAAAAAGAUAAGGUUCUUCUAAAAACUAAUUCAUAAAAUAUAUGUUCUAUUUCAGGAUAUUCAUACUAGAAUUGUUCGGUGUGUUACUGCAUUAGUGAUAAACUAAUAUGAUACAAUAAUAUAUUAGUGCACUAAACACAAUUUAAACACGCCCUAAAUUGUCUAUGACAAUCCAAAAUCAUGCUAAUAAAAUCCUAAAUAAAGCACAACGAUAGGGAAUUAAGUAGGGCAUAGAGAGAGUAAAAUUUACCAACAAUGCGGUUUUCGAUUUUGGGUUUGGCCAUCAUGGGAAUGGGUUCGAAAGAGUGGUGUCUGCUGUCCCUCUGAUCUAUGUGAUUUGUUUUUAUUACGCAUUUUUGUUUUUCAAUUUGGUACGAUCUAAUUGAUUUCAACAACUGGAUUAAAAGUAAAUAAAUGGAGAUUAAAUUUAAAGGCCAGUAGGAAAGAGAAGAAGUAUGGGUGGGAUGUGGAUGUGGCUAGCUCUGGUUCAACUCAGAUGAUUUAAUUGUAUUUUAAGCGAGACGACUACCGUGACGAGGGUGUGCGUCUGCAAAUUCUAAGUAUCUUUUCUGCAUCUUAUUUUACCACCUCUAGUUUUACCUAGAUGUUUCGGCCAACCGAUGAUUCCGAAGGGCUUUUUCAUUGUUAAGCACUGUCGUAGCACCGCCGAGAGCUUGGUCACUGUUCUUAUUCUUCGGCGGUCAAGAGCCUCAUGGCUGUAAUUUCACAUUUGGGAUUACUUAAUUGUAGAUUAUGAAUAAUAUUUUAUCUUCAAUUAACCCUACUAUUAGUAAUAUAUUGACAUUACUUUAUUUUGUUUAUUAUUUUGAUUUGGGGAAUAAGUAAAGAAUUUGAAGAUUUCUGAGUUGUAUGAUGAAGAUGGUUUGGUGAAACUUGGUAGCAUUUUUAUUUUGUUUUUU
This 1669-nucleotide long non-coding RNA is filed under the name Citrus x clementina. RNAcentral's name for it is "Citrus clementina (C. clementina) long non-coding RNA (CCLE_LNC000864)". Lineage: Eukaryota; Viridiplantae; Streptophyta; Magnoliopsida; Sapindales; Rutaceae. The record is from RNAcentral.